Non-coding RNA from Heterocephalus glaber (naked mole-rat), 285 nucleotides. NCBI's taxonomy places the organism in Eukaryota, Metazoa, Chordata, Mammalia, Rodentia, Bathyergidae. The record is from RefSeq and is a predicted model, not a curated record.
CGCGCGCCCCGCCCUCGCCGCGCGUUCUCGAAUGCCUGAAGUCCGAGAAUGCUGGUCUCCUGUACAAGCUCGUGUGUGCGCGCUCACGCGUGCCGCGCCUCCUCGCACACCAGUGAAUAUUUGAUGAAGAAAUGAAGGUACCUGCUUUCUCUUCACCUUUCCUGGAAUUGUUAGAAAAUGAUACAGACAUCAGAUCUCAGGCCUUUGGAGUCUAAGAAUUACACCAGCAAGCCUUCUUGGUUCUCCACACUGCAGAUGGCGUAUCGCAGGGACUCUCAACCUUGA